GUCAAUAGUCCAACUGUCAGUCUGACCAAGACAAAGACUGACUGACCUCCUGCUCUCUAGAAAUCCAGAGGAAAAAGAAGUCCCUUCUCUUAACUGUCUCUCUCUUACAUACUUCACUCAUUUCCUAGGUGAUGGAAUCUUCAGCUCUCUACUGCUCUUACUGAGAAAUGUUUCUGUUCCUGCCUCUUAAAGAGACAGAGGAAGAGAUUAAGAAACUCCCUUUAACAAGCCCCUCUUCCUACAUGAAGCCUUUCUUAACUUCUCUCAGUUAUCAGUACUUGUUCCCUCCUUAGAUUUGUUUUUCUAUUAACAUGGUAUGACCCUCUUCCUUCCUUCCACUAGGAUGAUAGCUACUUAAGAAGAAGGGAUUACUAAGGAGUCGCUGCACAGUGUAAAGAAGCACGAGGUCAAGGAGACCAACAAUCCCUGCGAGGAUCUUCACCAAGAGAGAGGUCUUGUUUUGAGGUUUGAGGAAGUGACUGUUUGGCAAAUCUAAAAGCUGGACUUCCCCAUGCCAGUUUUCUAUAAGCACCUUGGUUUGACUUUCAUUUUUGGUCCCCUCUCCCUGAGAUUGAAGGCAAAAUCAGAACAGGAAAUAAUACUUCCCUUUUACCUCAGACUCUUGUCCCCUUCUCUUUUAUAGUAUGGCAAUUUUUUGUAGUCCUGGCUACUGAUGCGUAAAUGCAAUAUUGCUACAAUUGUCCUGUUUGCUUGUAGGACAUAAGUCACUUUAAUUGGGCUUUGCUGGUGAUUCAAGGACCUGUUAUGGUUUUAUUUUUAAUCAUAAUUUAAUACACACAGGAUUUUGGUAUAUAUAUGUAUUUUUGUCAAGAAUUUAAUUUUUUUCUGUUCUAUUUGGUUUUUGGUUCUUUUGAGAAUUCAUUCAUAUACCUCAUAGCUAAGCCUUGUAUAUUGUGAUGAUUCUAGUGUUUGUCAACACCCUUCUAAGGGGGGAUGGUAUAAUUAUCCUAAAAUCCAAGGGUUAAGAUCUUUUAUAGCAAUUCUAGGAAGAGAAAAUUGCCAAUAUCCUAAAUCAAGAAAGUGGAUCUUCUGAAGAACAUACCAUAAGGAUGCCUAUAGGAAUCACACACUACACCAAAAUGAUCCAGAAUGAACUUUGGGUUAUAAUGAACUGAACUGAAGGGAGUUGAACCUAUCAUUUAUUCUGAAUGUAAACUCUUAUGCCAAAGGGGAGUGCCCCCCAAUUGACUUUUUUUUAUUCCUUUGGCUUCCUCUUCUUCCUCAUUUUCAUCUCCCUUUGUAGAUAAUUCCUCCAAUUCCUCCUCCUUGUAAUUUUUCUUUUUUUUCUUUUCAUGAGGAGUUUGUUUCCUCCUGAUCUCAGGAUUGAUAACAUCAAAGAACUCCUCAAUCAGAGCCAGCAGCUUUUCUUGGUUAAGCUUAACUUCUUCCUCUUCUUCCUUGCCCUCAAGUUUUUUGUUGGUUUUUUUUUUCUUUUAGGUGCAUCUCUCUGUGCUUGGUUUCCAGGAUCUUCUCUCAAUUGAGUUUCCCAUUCAAAGAACUAGGAUGCUCAAAAACAGGAGUAAUUGAAGUGAGGGAAGGAGAGGGAGGUGUGUGGCUUUAUGAUCAGGACUCAUCAUCUAUAUUGGAAUGUCAAGACACAAAUCCAAGAAAAGAAUGGAAAGAUUUCAGAGAAAGGAAGGAAGAGGACAAGUAUAUUUGAUCUUUAUUCAAACCUGACCAUCUUAAGGUGACUAAGAUGGCUCAACUUAGAUUUCAUUAUGAAGUUUAAGGAGAUAUUUUAAUGAAAAAAGACAAACCAAGGAUAUUCUAUUCACGUAGGGAUGGCUAUAUGAGAGACUGAUAAAAUACAAAAGUAUGUGAAUUUGAGACAAGAAGAGAUGAACGGUGUACUCUCGAAGAAAAAGCCAAAGGAGAAGUGAAUAAUCUUGAAGGGAAAGAUGAGAAGUUUAAAUCGGAUUCUAAAAUGAUAAUGCAAUAAGGAAAAUAAAGAAUAGAAAUAUAUUUGUAAAUGAUAGGUAAGAAUAUAAUACUUCUCAGACACUGAAGCUUUUGGUUAUAAGCAGAGCCCUGGUCUUUCUUUGACAGAGCUCUUAUAAGUUCCACAGCAUUCUUUAGGUCAGAAUCUUUUCAAACCUACAGCUCAUUAACCUAAAUUACUCUGAAUGAGCAUAUAUUUUAUCUAUUUACCAGGACAACUAGAGGACACAAAAUGAAUAGCAAAAUAAAUAAAAAGGAAAAUUUCCCUUUGUCAUUCUCAUAGAUUUCCAUGCUAACAGUGGGAAAGAAGAGAGAAAGCAUAAAUAUCGGGGAAAACUCAUUUUUCGAAAGUUCCAGCCCACCCAGAAGAGGUUUUCCCUUCUAAAGCUGGUACUUCUUGCUUUUUUGAAGAGCUGCUACUUCCAUCUGUUGCUUCUGCUGAGCUGCUACUAUCAUCAGCUUUCUCUAUGCCAAGUUGCAGUUGCUAGGUAUCUCCUUACAAACAUGAAUGCAUCGCAGCUCUUUUGUGAGUUAUCCCAUAGUUUUCAAGGUUCUUCCUUUUUUAUAAAGCCAGAACCAUAAUAUGUUCAGUCAUCACAAGAGUUAUUCGGGUUGAAUAUUUCUUUUAAAUUGACUCUCUCCUUCCCUUAGAAAAAUCUUUUCUAGUACCCAAAAAAUUGGGUUGGAGAGAGUAAAUGUCUUCUAGUUUGCAUCAUGCCCUUGGAAACUAGCACCAGAGUCAUGAAGACUUAUGUAGGAAAAAUUUAACUGUACCUGAAGAGUUGGUGACCUUUGUCUUGCAACCUGGCAAUCAAUUAAUAUAUUACUUUGUUUUGGAGAACAGUUGAUACUUCACUUGAUAAUCAUAAGAAUUAUUAUAAGAGUUAGACUCCAGUUCAAAUGAGAUUUUUAGAACUUUUCUUUUAGUGGGUUUUUAAAAAUAUCUUUCAAAUCAUUGGUUUAAUAAAGCAAUCUUAAGUUUUGCCU
Molecule: non-coding RNA, 2946 nt
Organism: Monodelphis domestica (gray short-tailed opossum)
Lineage: Eukaryota; Metazoa; Chordata; Mammalia; Didelphimorphia; Didelphidae
Source: RefSeq, a predicted model, not a curated record